RNAcentral lists this ribosomal RNA (253 nucleotides) under uncultured bacterium. RNAcentral describes it as "partial 16S ribosomal RNA". It matches the Rfam family "Bacterial small subunit ribosomal RNA", at positions 524 to 776 of the family's 1533-position model. The record is from RNAcentral.
GACGAGUCUCACGAACGUUAUUCGGAAUUACUGGGCUUAAAGGGUGCGUAGGCGGUUAAUUAAGUCGGCUGUGAAAUACCUUAGCUUAACUAGGGAACUGCACUCGAUACUACUUUGCUAGAGUAAGACAGAGGUGAGUGGAACUGAGGGUGGAGCGGUGAAAUGCGUUGAUAUCCUCAGGAACACCGGUGGCGAAGGCGACUCACUGGGUCUUUACUGACGCUGAUGCACGAAAGCUAGGGUAGCAAACGGG